Molecule: ribosomal RNA, 922 nt
Filed under: uncultured bacterium
Lineage: Bacteria
Description: bacterial SSU rRNA
Rfam family: Bacterial small subunit ribosomal RNA
Source: RNAcentral
UAAUACCGCAUAGUAUCUGUGGAUUAAAGGUGGCUUUUGGGCUGUCGCAGAUGGAUGAGCCUGCGUUGGAUUAGCUAGUUGGUGGGGUAAGGGCCUACCAAGGCUACGAUCCAUAGCUGAUUUGAGAGGAUGAUCAGCCACAUUGGGACUGAGACACGGCCCAAACUCCUACGGGAGGCAGCAGUGAGGAAUAUUGGACAAUGGGGGCAACCCUGAUCCAGCAAUGCCAUGUGUGUGAAGAAGGCCUUAGGGUUGUAAAGCACUUUAGUUGGGGAAGAAAGCUUUGAGGUUAAUAGCCUUGAGGAAGGACGUUACCCAAAGAAUAAGCACCGGCUAACUCCGUGCCAGCAGCCGCGGUAAUACGGGGGGUGCAAGCGUUAAUCGGAAUUACUGGGCGUAAAGAGUCUGUAGGUGGUUUGUUAAGUCAGAUGUGAAAGCCCAGGGCUCAACCUUGGAACUGCAUUUGAUACUGGCAAACUAGAGUACGGUAGAGGAAUGGGGAAUUUCUGGUGUAGCGGUGAAAUGCGUAGAGAUCAGAAGGAACACCAAUGGCGAAGGCAACAUUCUGGACCGAUACUGACACUGAGGGACGAAAGCGUGGGGAUCAAACAGGAUUAGAUACCCUGGUAGUCCACGCUGUAAACGAUGAGUACUAGCUGUUGGAGUCGGUGUAAAGGCUCUAGUGGCGCAGCUAACGCGAUAAGUACUCCGCCUGGGGACUACGGCCGCAAGGCUAAAACUCAAAGGAAUUGACGGGGACCCGCACAAGCGGUGGAGCAUGUGGUUUAAUUCGAUGCAACGCGAAGAACCUUACCUGGUCUUGACAUCCUGCGAACUUUCUAGAGAUAGAUUGGUGCCUUCGGGAACGCAGUGACAGGUGCUGCACGGCUGUCGUCAGCUCGUGUUGUGAAAUGUUGGGUAA